CAACUUGAAUUUGCUUAAUUGCACCACAUGUGUUUUUCUUUGAAACAAACUUGCUUUGGCGGUGGGCCCAGCCUGCCGCCAGAGGUCUAAACUUACAACCAAUUUUUUAUCAACUUGUCACACCAGAUUAUUACUAAUAGUCAAAACUUUCAACAACGGAUCUCUUGGUUCUCGCAUCGAUGAAGAACGCAGCGAAAUGCGAUACGUAAUAUGAAUUGCAGAUAUUCGUGAAUCAUCGAAUCUUUGAACGCACAUUGCGCCCUCUGGUAUUCCGGAGGGCAUGCCUGUUUGAGCGUCGUUUCUCCCUCAAACCGCUGGGUUUGGUGUUGAGCAAUACGACUUGGGUUUGCUUGAAAGACGGUAGUGGUAAGGCGGGAUCGCUUUGACAAUGGCUUAGGUCUAACCAAAAACAUUGCUUGCGGCGGUAACGUCCACCACGUAUAUCUUCAAACUUUGACCUCAAAUCAGGUAGGACUACCCGCUGAACUUAAGCAUAUCAAUAAGCGGAGGAA
This 512-nucleotide ribosomal RNA is filed under the name Candida albicans. RNAcentral's name for it is "eukaryotic LSU rRNA". The stretch from base 145 to 298 matches the Rfam family "5.8S ribosomal RNA". Lineage: Eukaryota; Fungi; Ascomycota; Pichiomycetes; Serinales; Debaryomycetaceae. The record is from RNAcentral.